UACGGGGGGGGCAAGCGUUGUUCGGAAUUACUGGGCGUAAAGGGCUCAUAGGCGGCCAACUAAGUCAGACGUGAAAUCCCUCGGCUUAACCGGGGAACUGCGUCUGAUACUGGAUGGCUUGAGAUUGGGAGAGGGAUGCGGAAUUCCAGGUGUAGCGGUGAAAUGCGUAGAUAUCGGGAGGAACACCAGUGGCGAAGGCGGCUUUCUGGUCUGUUCUUGACGCUGAGGCGCGAAAGCUAGGGUAGCAAACGGG
Molecule: ribosomal RNA, 253 nt
Filed under: uncultured bacterium
Lineage: Bacteria
Description: partial 16S ribosomal RNA
Rfam family: Bacterial small subunit ribosomal RNA
Source: RNAcentral